AGCUAGAUUUUGACGUAAUUUCUUCUGAUGUAGCUAGCAGGUGGCGGAGGUGUAUUUGAAUGUCAGCAGAACCCUGACAGCGAGUAGGAUGUCCUCCGUCUGCUAGUCUUCUUUGAUCCUUGAAUUCUGUGGAGCUCAAAUAGACAACAAAGUUUGUGGAACUGAUUAGGUGUUAGCAUAAAUAUCUAGCCUUUAUCAUGUUGAGCCUCCUCGAUAAAUAUUAUUUAUUUAGCAGGAUCAUGCACUUAUUAUUUUUAACAUUUUUAUUAUAAGAUGAAAACAUAUUUAUUUUAUGCCACCAUAGUUAAUGUACCUAUGGGUUUUAUGCCAUGAGCAUACUCACAUGGGGCUUACUAUUUUUUAACAUUUUUAUUUUCCUUUCGAGAUGAUAUGAACCUGAUUAACUAAGCAAACUAUUGAAAGGAAAAGGAUAACUAGCAAGUUUACCUCUUGGCAAGGCGUUCGGUGUUUUUAAGUCCUCCGAAUGGGACUCUCCGUUUUCUCAGUCGUCCUGGGAUUCGCUGGAUGGUGUAGUUGGUGGUUCCGGCGGCGCCUCUUCUUCGUGUAUAACUAUCUUCUCUCUCCAUACCAGACUCGGUGCUACGGUCUCCUCAGGACAGUUCUGUUCAAGCUGUAUGUCUUCAGACCUUAUCACUUCUCCUUUGUAAUCUACCCAUCCGUCCUUGAUGAUUUGCCUCCUCUGGUUUCGGUUGUGUCGCCUUCUUCUUGUCUGACCUGCUUAGAGUCUUCAACUAUAUAGUUAAGGUGAGUAAAAUAGCGGCGUACCUUCUCAGAUGGGAAGUGCAUGUGGACUUCUCCAAUUCCAAUAUAGAUGAUGGCUUUGAUAGUGUUGAGGAACGGUCUUCCAAAGAUGAUGGGUGGAUCGUACUCGUUUUCUCCUAUGUCAAUGACCUGAAAAUCAUCUAGAGCUGAAUGUAUGUUGGUUAUGGUUCCAUGCAGGAGCUGAUAAGUGACUGCGGCCAUUAUGUUGACGUAGAUCCGGUGUCGUAGAGUGUCUUCUUAAAAGAGUAUCCAUUGAUUGUGCACUCGAUGCUUGGAACACCAGGGUCGUCCUUCUUGAUCAGGAAAGGCGACUUGAGUCGAUGAUGUUGACCUCUUCCGAUAAGGAUCCAAUGUUUUAAGUCUUCUGGACAAGACUUCUCACCGUCUUCAUCCUUUAGGUGCAUCAUUUGAUUAGGUGUGGACCUUGACGUCUGCACUUCUUGAUACGGUGUCACCCAUGUUCUUCGUUUGCCUAGUAGUUCAAAGUGAAGUGUUGGCAAUAUCCUGCUUAGUGUGUUUGUGCUCGUAGAUCCAGAUCCUUCACUUGGUGUAGUCUGGGAGUUGUAAAACUCCUCCAUGUUUUGCUUGAAGUGUACCUGUUCAUAGAGACAAGGCAGAGAUCAAGUGCAUGGGCCCUGUUGGUGAAAAACACAAACAAAACCAAAAGUGUAUUUGUUCUUCUUUAACCUUAAGCAUAGUGAGCAAGACAAAGUUGAUGGAUCAUGAGUAUAGCAUGUGUCAGAUCAGAUGGCUCAACCUAAUGGAAAGAUAAUCUAUCUAUAUUUAUGUUUUGUUUAUAUCUUCCAAAUAUUGAAUGUGCAACAUUUUAGCUUAUAUGAUUAGGAGUGUGGGAUCACGAAGGUAGUACUAAGAACAAAGAUUAAAGGACUAAACAUGUUGAAUUAAUUGGGUUGGUUAAUUUGAAGUUACAAAUCAUACAUGUUUGUCUCUUUAUUUUAUGUGAACGCCAGAAUCAAGGAGAAACUUAUAAAAGCAAUAGUCAAGUACCUUAAGAUGUUACCUUAGUUGAAGAGUGAUGGUAUAGUAUCACUUUGUGGAAGCUUUCCUUUCUUAGCGGUUGUGCACUGUGUUUGUGGCAUUCUUUGUCUCGUUCCAUGAAUCAUCUCUUUAUGAUGAAUGAGCUAUGUCCUUCUUGUGCAAAUUGUUAAACUUCAUGUGUCUCCUUUAUCUCCAAUGUGAGUUUGUAUCUCAAGACUUCCCUGGUUGAUAUUGAAAGUUUUCCUACAGGGGUUAGUCCAACAAAAUAUCCAAUAUCUACUAUAGCAUACUAUUGGCUCAAAAAUCAACCUAGACACCAUGUCUAAUUUGAUUUAGGAGGGCAUUUUAACCUAAGAACCAUGCUUAAUUGAAAAAUCCUUUGGAAAUAAGAUCAUCAUUCCUAAACUAAGCACCAUGCUUGAUUUAAGAGAUAAAUGAAACUACUCCAAACCUAGACAUAUACUAAAGCAAAUAAAGGUGGCAUGAGAGCAUUUAUAGAGAUCUACUCAAGUGAAGGUGAAGUAGUGUAAUUAGUAUUUAACAAAUUGAGCAUGUCUCAAAGGUAAGGACAACCAACAUAGCAACAUGGCAAAUGAUGUUUUUAUGUAAAGUACUCCCACAAGCUUGAAUUUUGCAAAAUUCAAGAUUGGAUGAAUUUAAUCCAAUGUUGUGUGAUGGUUGGUUGGAGAUACGUUGUGCUUGUCAUUCAUCCAAUCUUCUUGCUCCAAUCGUGGAAAGGUUAGUGACAAGAGUACCCGAAGGAAUAUUUCUACAAUUAUCUUUAUAUGCUCAAUACAUAAGGCAAUGUUGCAAAUAAUUAGAAGUUCAUGUUACAAUCUGAUAAGUGCUUGUUUUAGGAUACUAAGCUCGUCCUUGGGAAACCAUCAAUCAACUCAACGAGAUCUGCAAUAUUUAUUAUAGACAUAUGCAUCGACAACCACCCCUUUAAAGUUUUUAUAAAUAGAAAGGAAGAGAGGGUUGGAGAUCUCAAAUGUGGUGAGGAUGGAGAGACCAAUUGAUUGGUGAGAUGUUUUAUGUGAGCAAGGACUUGGUGAGAUAUUUAUGAAAUAACUUCCAUGCUCGCUGUUGUUUCUCUCAUUCUCAAACUCCAAGGAUGAAUCUUCAUGAAUGUUUAAAAUUCCUCUAGGAUUGUCUCUCAAGUUUGUUUUAUCUAUCCAUUCAAUGGUGAUAGCACAUGGAUUUUUAAUGCCUUCUAGCCAUUGAUGUUGCUUUUCUCGAUCCUCCUUGUGGUCUUGGUGACUCUUAUGAAUGGGAUUUCUAGAGAGAUUCAUAGGAUCAUCAGGAGGUUCAAGAGAAAGAGAAGAGUAGAAAUUAUUAAGCUCAAGGAUGGGUUGGAUAGCCGAAUCAUGGGAUUGAAAUGUUUGGAAAUUGGCUAUGGAAACUUCCUUUCCUUGUUUGGGAGAUGAUUCCUUCUCUAUCUCUAAGAUUUUUCUAUGAAGACUAGUACAAGAAGGAUGUCCACGAAUGAAGAUAUACCUUGCUUUACUAACAGAUAAAGAAAGAAAAACUCUAUUGAAGGGUAUAUGAUUAAGACCAAUGUGAAAAUAUCGAGAAAAAACAUGGUCUUGUAGGGCUAGGUUUAAACCAGAAUUUAUAGAAAGAUUAACAGAUUCCCUAGGUGUAGAAAAGGGUUGGUUUUGACCUAUUGCAGUCAACUCCGGACACAGAUCAUAAUUAGGGGCAGGACUUGUUGACUCCCAUGGUCUAUGGCUGGUCUCCGAAGGUGCAAAGAAUUCAAUAAUAGGUAUGGAAUUUAAGUUAUCCAUAAAGUUAAAAAUAAAAAGAUAAAAGAAUAAAAGUAUAAAAGUAUAAUACAAGAUAAUAGCAAGACUCAAAGUUAUCUCAGCAAACCGUCUUUCUCCCCGGCAACGGCGCCAGAAAUGCUUGUUGAUAUUUGGUAACGCAAUAAGGAAAUGAUCCGCAAGCGCACGGAUAUCGGUGAGCAUUUCACCCAGGAGGUUUUCUAGAGUAUCGUAUUUAUAUUUUUACCACUGGGAGAAAGGGUGCAUCUGACUAACCAAAUCUAUUGCUACUAUCCCUUUAGGCUACAAAGAAUGUUUCUCGCUGUGAGUGAUGUAUAGAGAAGACUGCAACCGUAGUCUCAUUCUAACCUUGGUAAGGAUGAUCUAUUGUUCUAUUGGGGAAGCUUACGGAAUCUAGACACCACAAAGGAUGUUCGACCCGCACCUAUAAACCCUACCCGUCCUGCUAACAAGAUGUGGGAUACAAAGGUAACUCGGAAAUGUCACGUUCCUCGCUACUACCACGGUCCAGCUAGUCAGGGGAUAUCUAUGAGUACCCUAGCCUAAACACCACGUUUAUGCUAGCAAUGAUUACUCUAAUACUCAACCGAAAGAGGAUUAAAGUAAACUCAUAAACCAAACAACAAUAAAACAAGAACUUACUAGAAUUAGAAGUCGAAUUACUAAAGAAUCUUAGGAGCAAGCCUCGGGUUAGAAGACUUGAUCCCGCAGGUACAACCUCAGAGUAGACACCGACAGGCCGGCCUUCCUCCGAUCUACACCUCCACUCUAUCUCUCUCAAUCUAGUAGAAACUAGAAGAUCUAAUUCUACUCACAUUGGAUGCUAAGCCUAAAAUAAAUUUUAUUUAGAGGAGAGGUAUUCCUUCGAGGGCUCCUCUCAACUCUAUGAAAAACUUGUCUCCUCCAGGGGCCAGGGGGUCUGGUUUUAUAGUCCCCUCAAGUGAACCUGGGCCAUCAGAUCAAACCGACAUUGAUUGGACGGUUAUCCUUGAUCCUUUAGGUCGGUGGAGAGUAAUCCUCGAAGAGAGUCCUGUUUGGACUCCAAGUUUGGGCGGGCGCCCUGCCUCUAGGCCCUUUCGGCCUCCGCUUCCUUCCCGUGGCUUCUGGAGUCUUCUAGAUUGUAACACCCUCGGUGUUAAGCAUGCACUUAGUCUUAUCAAAGUCAUGCAUAAGCAUUCCCAUCAAGCAUAAGCAUCAUGAGCAUGUCAUUCUUUUCAAAAUAUGAUUUUAUGUGCUUCAUUUCAUGAGUUUUAAAUAUGCUAAAACUAUGAUACUUGCUUCUAAAAUUUGUGAAAUAUUCAAACUAGGUUGAUUUAUGUGUAAGAAGAAUUUAGAGUAUUUUUGUGUAAUUUUUGGAGCUAUAGAAUUUGAGAAAUGGAAUUUAUACAAAAUAUCCAAAAAGAAUUUAUUUAAAACCUAGAACUAAGUUUUGAUUUGUAAUUCAAAUUCUAUUUAGAAUUUUGUCUCGCUUAUUAAAGCAAAGUUGUAGAGUUUUUAGCUUGGAACAACUUUGCCUUUCGGAGAAAGUGGUGAAAAUGAUUUGAAAAUAGCCAAAAUGAAUUGAGAACAGAAUUUGAGAAAAGAAAUUCAAAAAAAAUAUAUAGAAAAGGGAAAAGGGGGCGCUAGCAGGCCGCGGCCUCACUUCUGGCCCGCUGGCCGAAGCCGGCCCGGCCCGCCCGCGCCUUCCCCUUCCCCUUCCCCGCGCUCGCGCCCGCGUCCGCGCGCGGACGGCCGCUCGGUGCCGCCGUGGCGCGCCGGCAGAGCCUGGCCGCCGCGUGGCGAGCAUGCGGCAGCGAGGACGCGUCCCGGUCGGCCACCAGAAGCGCUCGGCUGCACCCGCCUCUGCCCCCUCUUCCAUUCGCGCCCCUCGGCCCUCGCUCUCUCGCUCUCUCGCCCUCGCUCUGCACGCGCAGAGCGCCGCCGUCGCCAUUGGAGCCCGAGCUCCGCCUCGGCCGUUCCUCCCCCGUGCGUGCGCCAUUCUGCGAUUAGUUCUCCCCCGAGCUCCGCCCUCGCUCCGCCGUUGCGGAACACCCGUCCGAGCGCUCGGUAGGGCACGGUGAGCCCCCGGUCGCUCUCGUUUCCUUCUCCAGCGAGAGCUCCGCCGCCGCGCACGUGAUCCGCGCGUCUCCAUGCCUUCCGGUGCUGCGUAGUUGGCGCACUGUGCUCGCCUUGGCACCGCGAUGCUCACGAGCCACUCCAGCCACGCUCUACUGGGCCAGCGUCCCGUGCCGACGGUGAGCAGCGCCGCCGCUCCGCCAUGGCCGGUGGCGAGCCUGCUCUGGUCCGUUUUAGGCCACGCAAAUGGGUGCGCUAGGUCCGCCGUGAGCCGUAGAGCGUGUAGAGCCGCUUGAUUCGCCGAAAGGGGUCGCCGACGGUGAGCUCCGGCCUCCCGUCUGCGUCCUGACCAGUGGGCCCGGCUGGCAGGCGGGUCCGCUCGUCAGCGACCGCGGGUGCACUGCACCGGGUGCACCUAGCCGUCUCGGGGUGGAUGACAGGUGGGGUCAUCUGACUCGCGUGUCCCGCCUGUCAGUGACUCCGAGGGUUUGAAUCCGAGUGCGCUUAGCGUUUUAGGUUGUUUUCCGUUUUAAAAGUUUUUCUAGAAAAUGGGUUAUGUAUUCAAAAAUCCAUAUCUUGAGGAAUAUAGCUCCAAAAAUUGUGAAAUAAAUUUUGGUGUGUUCCCUAUUUCCAGAUCUAUAGCCUAGUAUGUCUGCAUGUCAUGUUUGAGUAACUUUUCUGUAUGAAAAUAUUUAAUCCAUGUUUUUGCUAAACUUGGAAAAUGCAUAGUAAAUAAAAUAUGGCUCAGAAAAAUGUGAAAUUUGUUUUGUUGGCUCUGCAUGUGUGUUUACUCACUGGGAAAAUAUUGUUACAUAUUAUUUGGUGUAUAAAUGAAUUUAUGGUAAUUUAAAUGCUUGCAUGGCAGUGAUUUAUGAUUUUUAAUAAUUAAUUGGGUCAUGCAAUAAAUCUGGAAAAUUUUGUGGGUAUUUCUUAUGAUAUUAGACAAAUGGUAAAAAUAUGAAAUCUGUUGUUUGACAUUUAUAUCAUUUGGAGUAAUUAUACUUACUUUAUUAAUUAAUCUUGUUAUUUUUGUGGCUCAAAAUAAGUAUCCAAAAAUUAUGAAUGGUUGUGUAUAUAGGUUGAAUGGAAUAAGUUGGGUUUGGUGUAUCUUUGAAGCAUCAUGUGGGUUGCUGGUUGCAUUUGAAAAAUAAUUGUAGAAGAGAAUGCAAUAGAUGUUUGAUUCAGUUGAUUGCUCUUGGAGGUUGUUGACUACCUUGUAAUGAGCAUGACCAAGCGUAUCACUUAUGCAUCAUGUCAUGACUCCUUUAGUACCUUCUCAUACAAGCAUCCACUCGGGCACCUCGCACUCCACUCAUAAGCACACAUGCAUCAUACAGGCUCGCAGGAGAACGAAGUGGGACCCGAGGAGCCAGAGGAGAGUCAGGAGCAGGAACCUCCGGAAGCACAGGAACCCGGAGAGGAACUGCAGGAGUGUCCAGAUCACCGACCCAGCACGUUUGAGAAAGGCAAGCCCCGGAGCAUUCUAAGUCUCCCUAUUCUCGCUAACUUAUACAAAGCACUAUACUUGUUCUACUAUAUUGCAUUUAAGUGAUAGGAAUUGCUCGAUACCGUUGAUGCAUAUGUACUUCUUGUUAUCCUUACUCGUUCACCUACCUUGUCCUAUGUAGAUAGGCACGGAGUCUAUGCUUAGCUUGCUUAGUCCGGUAGAAGUCGGGUGAUUCCCUGUCACCUGCGAGAUAUAGGUGGAUACCUGCUUGAUUAAGCAGUAGUUGCUUGGGGAAAGGAAUAACCAAGUGUGGAAUGUAAUUGGAGACCGGGCAGGGUCUUAUGGUGGGUUGACCGUAGUGCCCCUGCCUGUGUCGAUUAAGGACCGAUCGUUGACGGCCCUCUUGUCAUGUUUAACGCAUGCCCCACAUUUAGCUGGAAGGAUAAGUCAUUCUGACCGCGAAGCCUGCGCACUAUCCGGGCCGGGAAUCGGCCCGAUGUACGCGCUGUAUUGGUGAUGGUUGAGGAGAACGACGAGGGCGCGGCGCGCAACCUUGGUAUACCUUGGAUACCUCGGUCGCCGGAACGGUCCUCGGGUACGGGCGGUGCCUGUCGAACCCGCGAAUUGGUCCUGGAUAGUGCAAUACGGUGAUCUGUAGCUCACUUGAUCAGUGAGUGUGGUUUGUGUGGGGAAUAAACUCGCCAGCUGGUUAGAAAUCGAUUCAAAUCGCCAUCGCUCCUGGAUAGUGAGCACUUGACAUGAGCCCUGUCCUCGUAGUAAGGACUAUGGAACACUUGGGUUAUAAUGAUGAAUGGUUUUAAGAAAUGCUAUGAUGAGGUACUAUCAUAGUCUUAUACUUGCUUGUAAUAGUGCAGGUGCAAACCUAGAUGAUAGGUAAUGAUACUUUCAACUUGAGCAAAUUAAAAGAAGAAAGACUUAUGUAGGUUAUGAUAGUGAAAUACUGCGGUUUUGCAAAAUGGUUGUCAGCUACCCCACUAUAUAGCCUUCAUGAUCCUUGAUGAGUCUUUAUUUUAAGUUUAUGACGGGUAAGUCUAGCUGAGUACCUUCUCGUACUCUGGGUUCUACUCCCAUGUUGUUUUGUAGAUGGUCAAAUGUAUUAUGGUUAUUGCAUCCUCUGUCUGUACCCAGCCAUGGGUGAUGACUAGACCAAGGGCGAUGGUCACUCCAUCUUCUCUUUUGCUUUUGUGACAAUGACCGAACUAUGGCACUGUAUCAGACUAAGUGUGUGUGUUGUAUUUUCGAAUUAUGAAGCUUCCGCUACUUGAAGAACUUGGUAUUGUAAUAACUUUAAGUACUCCGAUGUAUUUUAUAAAUGUUGUAAUCUGGAUGUAUUGUGGAUGGCGACCGCUAAACUUAUUACGAUCUUGGCUGUUGUACGAUGUGUGGUUUGAAAUCCUUCGAGAUUUCACGGACUACCGGGAUUAUAUGGGCUUAAGCCUGAUGGUUUGACUAUGCAAAUGGUCACUGUUAGGCUUAAUCUCUUAUAAUUUGGUCGGUUCUGUUACAGCUGGCAUCGGAGCAAGGUUUAGCGAGUUACUGUUCAUAAGUACGUUCUAAACAAAAUCUAAACCGGUCUAAUGAAGGAUUUUAGUAAUUAAUAAAAAUCAAGGUGUUAAACUAAUUUUUGGAAAACUAUCUAGUGUGCCAUGGUCAUAUCCUUUAUGCCCAGUUAAGGACUCUAAGGUGGCUAGUUAAGUACUGACUUGGGGGUGAAUGCAUCAUAUUUUUGUUUCAUCGCUCAUACGGCGUGCAAUAGUAUGAGUGCCAUUCAUUUGAGUGGUAAUGUAUGGAUCCAUUUUUCCUCUACGCCACGGUAAGUGGGAGCUGUGAGAGCAUGAUCGGAUACACUGCCGGUCUAGGGGAGUGUUGCUAGGUAUUGUGUCAUGCACACAUGUUGGUGUGUCUUGGGAACAGUACCGCAUGUUGCGAAUUCCGUCCUGAGAGGCGAUGCCGUCAAUAGGGCGAUGAUGUGGGUAGUGACACGUCACAUGCAUGGACGGGUGUUUGUGUAUGUGAAGUGCAUAGUUAAAAAUUCUUGUUCUGCACGAUCAUACUGUGGGUGGGCUGAAAUGAGUUUUCUGCAGGUACACUAACCACGUUCUCGCUUAGAACGCUAGUUACGUUAUGAGAGAACGUUGUGUGCCACCGCAUAUACCGCUUAGUGUUAACCUUUGUUUCUAAGUUCGUGAGAUCGUAAGUUCGUGCAUGCGUCAUGUUCAUUUCAUAUCAUUGCUUACUUUCCCCCUUAAUUUAAUCUGUCCCAAUUCUAAAUAAAAUAAUUAAAGUUAAUCCUCGCUCUUACCCACAAUAUUCCAUUUGCAGCAGAUGGCACGCACUAGGCUCACCGCUCGCAAGUCCACUGGUGGGCGGGCCCCUCGCCAUCCGUUGGCAGCUAGGAGCUCGCGACAUAAGAGCAAGUUCCUAGAGUAGUUUGGGAUGCCCACUUUGCUUUAUAGGGUGCUCAGUUCGAUGGGGUAUCCCGAAGAAAGGGAGCCUCGCUACUAUUGGGAUAAGGAGCCGCUUGGUGACGAGACCUUGGUGGGGAUUGAGGCAGUUGUCCCUACCAGUGGAGGAGACCCUGCUUGGGGCGGUUGGGUGUACGAGUCCCGAGGUGUCACGCCUUUCCACGGUGCCAGCAGGGCAGCUUUCGUAGUUCUGAGGGACCUCAUGGAGAGGUUUCCCCAGGAGCUGGCCCACGCCUUCGCGGGGGUGUUUCCCCGGGGUGACCCCUACACUUCGGUGUGGGAUCAGUCCGAGGUGAAUGCUCUAGAGAGGAGUGCGGAUGAGGACCAGCACAGUGACAGUGCAGCUAUGAGUGCCAUGUACGCGUUGAUGAAGACCUAUGGAGGCCUAGAGCGUUGUUUGGGUCGCUUGUCCGGGUCUCUUCUCACCGUCCAGGAUGAGAAGCAUCAGUUGCAGCGUGAGUUCGACUCUGAGGUUGAGAGGCUAUAGGCAGAGUUGGCCCGUGUGACCAGAGAGAGACUAGGCAGUCCAGAAGAAUAGUGAGCUGAGUCAGGAUCUGCUUGCAGUACGGGAGCAGAAGGACAGGGUGACUACUGCUCACAGGAACAGCGAGCGCAUGCUAGUCCAUGUGCUUGGACAGAGGAAUGAAGCCUGGCACGAGGAGGACACUUUGAGGGCCCGACAGCUGGAGCUAGAGCAACAGCUAGCUAAUGCUGAGGAGUACAAUGAGAACUUGCAUGAGGAGAUCCACCAGCUGCAUAACCAGCUCCACCCUCACCACCUGCCUGGAGCAGCGGAGCUAGACUCUGGAGACGAGAUGGACGCGGAUCCCGAGAUAGGAGCAGCUGCUAGUGGAGAUGAGGAUGAGGAUGGCUCCGGCAUGGACAGUGACCAUAGCGAGCAGAUGCUAGGGCUCUAGAGCUAGUCCUUCUUCUUAUGUUGUUGUAUGUUGCAUGGCAUGUCGUGUACUUUUGGAUCUGGGCUAUGUAAGACUUUAUGAGUUAAUGCUGAAAGUCCAGUGUAUGUAUGCUGGCAAGUUGGAUGUACGCGAACCUUGUUGCGUGAAUGUUGAGUAAUCUGUUAGUGAUGUUGUGCGUAGAUGAUGAAUUGUUGUGCCUCUGUUUAUUGUGCGAAUUUAUUCCCUCAGUAAAUUCAGUACGGCAUGAUUCUACACAUUUCUACCGAUUGAUGGCAACUCCUAACGAUUGCUUAUCAUUGGCGUAUGCAGAUGGUGCAAACACGUGGCGGGGGUAACAGCAAUCCGGGUCUUGGAGCAGGUACAUCCGGAGGUGGGGCUCAACGGAAUGAGGACAGAGCACCAACACCGCCCCCACCACCGCCUCCUCCGUACACUGCGGACGUGUUUUUCGCGCAGUUUCUGGGGAGCCAACGCAACAUGGAACAGAUGCAACGCAACAUGGAAGAGGCUCUGCGCAACAUAGCUGACAACACCUGUCGUGGGGAUAACCAGGGCGGCCGUGAAGUCAACCAGUACAGUUCGUUCAAGGACAUCAUGGAUACCAAGCCACCAAUCUUCAAAGAGGCUUUGGAACCGCUCGAAGCAGAUGAGUGGAUCAACACCAUGGAGCAGAAGUUUCGUCUUCUCCAAAUGACAGAAGAACUCAAGGCUGAGUAUGCGGCACAUCAGUUGCAAGGACCUGCUGGGAUUUGGUGGUCCCAUCACCGUACCACCUACCCAGAGGGGACCCAAUUACCUGGAACCGCUUCACCACCGCUUUUCGGGGAAAUUAUAUUCCUCCGGGUGUGGUUGAAAUUAAGGUUGGGGAGUUCAUGAGGUUGUCCAAGGGAACGAAAUCGGUAAAGGAGUAUCUACAUGCUUUCAAUAAUCUCGCUCGCUAUGCCCCUGAGUUUGUAAACACGGAGGCUAAGAAGAUUGCUAGUUUCCAGAGGGGCUUGAAUCCAAAGAUGCUGAAGACCAUGGGUACAGGGGCCAGGGCUACCUUCAAUGCUUACAUCAGUGACUGUCUCACCCAGGAGAACAACAACAACAACUACAGUGCAUCCAAGUCACGUAAGAGGGCUUUUGAAGCCGGAUCAUCUCAGUCUAGGGCACCAGUGGUAGGGCGACACCAGUAUCGUCCUCCUGCCCCAGGUGCUAGGUUCCGACCACUGCAAAGAAGGAACAUCGGGCAUCGAACACAGCAGAAGCCGUACAAGGUUGCGAUAGCCCAUGCCAAGCCAAAGGCAAUUCAAGCUGCAGCACCUGCCGUUAACAAUGCGCCCAAGGGUCCGUGCUAUAACUGCCACAAGAUGGGGCACUUUGCUAAGGAAUGUCCCUACCCCAAGAGGCAGCAGCCAACCUAUCCAGCUCGUGUGCACCAUACCUCGAUCGAGGAGAUCCCGGAAGGAGAACCGGUAACAGCUGGUAUGUUCUCUGUCAACCAACAUCUUGCAGUUGUUUUGUUUGAUUCUGGAUCAUCGCAUUCAUUCAUGAGCCAAGCAUUUGCACAAAAGCAUGAUCAGUCAGUUACUGAGUUAGGUUAUGGCUAUCGCAUCAGCUCAGCCGGAGCCGAUGUGUUGACUAAUAAAACAGUAACAGGAGUUACUUUGGAUAUCAGUGGCCGGAGGUAAACCCUAAACCUUGUGGUCAUGCCAGGACUGGUUUUGGAUGUCAUCAUUGGAAUGAACAAGAUGACUGACUGGGGCGCGGUUAUAGAUGCCGGGAAUAGAACUCUUUCCCUUAGAGACCCGCAAGGGAAGGGUGUGCUUCAGGUCAAGCUACCCAGACGGUUGGACUUCGCCAGUCUUUCGUGUGUAGUACAGGUAGUUCCACUAGAACACAUACCCGUGGUAUGUGAGUUCCCUGAUGUGUUUCCUGAGGAUUUACCAGGACUUCCCCCAGAUAGGGAAGUGGAGUUUGCAAUCGAGUUGAUGCCGGGUACAACACCAAUAUCUAGAAGGCUGUAUUGGAUGCCCCCAAACGAACUCGUUGAGUUGGAGAAUCAACUAAAAGAAUUACUGGAUAAAGGGUUCAUCCUGCCAAGCUCGUCGGAAUGGGGUUGUCCAGUGUUGUUUGUGAAAAAGAAGGAUCAAUCGUUGCGCAUGUGCGUGGACUAUCGUCCACUCAAUGCCGUGACAAUCAAGAAUAAGUAUCCCUUGCCAAGGAUUGAUAUCUUAUUUGAUCAGUUGUCCAAGGCAAAAGUGUUUUUCAAGAUAGAUUUGAGGUCUGGGUAUCACCAAAUCAAGAUUCGUCCGCAAGAUAUCCCGAAGACUGCUUUUUCCACCAGAUAUGGGUUGUAUGAGUAUCUUGUCAUGUCCUUUGGAUUGACAAAUGCUCCUGCAUACUUUAUGGAUCUGAUGAAUUCAGUCUUUAUGCCAGAGUUGGAUAAGUUUGUUGUGGUGUUUAUCGAUGAUAUUCUGGUUUAUUCAGAAAAUGAACAAGAUCACGUCGAGCAUCUGAGAAUCGUGCUGACACGAUUACGAGAGCAUCAGUUAUAUGCCAAGUUCAGCAAGUGUGAAUUCUGGUUAAAGAGAGUUCCUUUCCUAGGGCACGUUCUGUGUGAAGAAGGGAUUACUGUGGAUCCAUCAAAAGUGCAGGAAGUCAUGGACUGGAAGGCACCAACUUCUGUCUCGGAAGUUAGAAGUUUUCUUGGUCUGGCCGGGUAUUAUCGUCGUUUCAUACCUGACUUCUCCAAGAUUGCUAAGCCAAAGACAAGUUUGCUACAAAAGGAUCACAAGUUUGUCUGGACGGAAGGGUGUGAGUUAGCCUUCCGCACCUUGUGAAAGUUGCUAACCACUGCUCCUGUUCUGGCACAACCUAAUAUAGAAAAGCCUUUUGAUGUGUUUUGUGACGCAUCGAAGAGUGGCCUGGGGUGUGUGUUGAUGCAAGAUGGCAGGGUGAUAGCUUAUGCUUCCCGACAGUUGAGAAAGCACGAAGUCAACUACCCAACGCACGACCUCGAGUUAGCAGCAGUAGUGCACGCUUUGAAGAUUUGGAGACAUUAUCUGCUGGGAAAUAAGUGUCACAUUUAUACCGAUCAUAAGAGUUUGAAGUACAUCUUCACUCAGUCCGAGCUAAAUAUGAGGCAACGAUGGUGGUUAGAGUUAAUCAAGGACUACGAUUUGGAAGUUCAUUAUCAUCCAGGCAAGGCUAAUGGGGUAGCAGAUGCUUUGAGUCGUAAACCGCACUAUCAAGUGGUUCGACCGUUGUUUGAAAAUGGUUUCAAUCUCAUGCAUCCUGAAGUCUUAUGUCAUAUACAACUCUGUUGUUCACUCGAGAGUCAAGUCAUUGAAGGGCAGAAAUCAGACAAGGGUAUUUUCCACAUCAAAGAAAAGAUCAAAGAUGACCCAAAAACUCAGUUUCGAGUUGAUGAGAAGGGGGUACUGUGGUUUCGACAUUGGUUAGUAGUCCCGAAAGAUCGGGAAUUGAAGAAUCGCAUCAUGGAUGAAGCCCAUCUCUCUAAGCUCUCUAUUCAUCCUGGCAGUAGCAAAAUGUAUCAAGAUCUAAGACCCCACUUUUGGUGGACCAAGAUGAAGAAAGAAAUAGCUGCGUAUGUGGCCCGUUGUGACACAUGUUGCAGAGUUAAGGCCAUCCAUAUGAAACCUGCAGGUCUGUUACAACCGUUAUCCGUUCCAGAGUGGAAAUGGGAAGAGGUCAGUAUGGACUUUAUCACGGGUUUACCAACGACAAGGAAGGGGAAUGACUCGAUUUGGGUAAUCAUAGAUCGACUGACCAAAUCGGCCCAUUUCAUUCCUGUGAUUACCCGCUACCGACCUCCUGAGUAUGCCGAUAUAUAUAUGGCUGAGAUUGUCAAGUUGCAUGGUAUUCCCAAGACCAUCAUAUCAGAUAGAGGACCACAGUUCACCGCUCACUUCUGGGAGCGCAUGCAUAAGAGUUUGGGGACCAGUUUGAUAAGAAGCACGGCAUAUCAUCCCCAGACUUCAGGCCAAACUGAGAGGUUAAAUCAAGUGUUAGAAGAUAUGCUGAGGGCCUAUGUGCUAUCAUCCAAGGGAUCAUGGGAGUCGUGGUUACCUCUGGCUGAAUUCUCCUACAAUAACAGUUAUCAAGAGAGCAUCAAGAUGGCCCCGUUCGAAGCUUUGUAUGGUCGGAGAUGUCGAACUCCGUUGAACUGGGUUGAACCUGGUGAAAGAAGAUACUAUGGUAUCGACUUUGUGAAUGAAGCGGAGAAAAAGGUGCAGAUCAUACAACAACAUAUGCAAGCGGCACAGUCACGACAAAAGAGUUAUGCUAAUAAGAGAAGAAGGCCACUUGAAUUCAAUAUAGGUGACUAUGUGUACCUCAAGGUUACGCCAAUGAAGAAAGUUCAACGUUUCCGAGUUCGAAGCAAGCUUGCACCCAGAUAUGUCGGACCGUACCAAGUGCUAGAGAGGAAAGGCCCAGUGGCCUACAAAAUUCAGUUACCUGAAGAGUUGAGCUCGAUCUUUCCGGUCUUCCAUGUGUCGCAACUGCGGAAAUGUCUGAAGGUACCUGAACAAAGAAUUGAACCUCGAGGAAUCAAGAUAAAAGCAGACCUAGAGUAUAAAGAGUAGCCAGCGGGGAUUGUGGAUACCAAGGAACGAGUAAACCGAAACAAAGUUGUCAGAACUUAUAAAGUGGUGUGGAGUCAUCGUGACGAUAGGGAUGCCACCUGGGAAACAAAGGAUUACUUGAAAACAGUUUAUCCAAAAUUUCAUAAGAAAUGGUUAGUAACCCGAAAUCUCGGGACGAGAUUUCCCUAAGGGGGGAAGGGCUGUAACACCCUCGGUGUUAAGCAUGCACUUAGUCUUAUCAAAGUCAUGCAUAAGCAUUCCCAUCAAGCAUAAGCAUCAUGAGCAUGUCAUUCUUUUCAAAAUAUGAUUUUAUGUGCUUCAUUUCAUGAGUUUUAAAUAUGCUAAAAAUAUGAUACUUGCUUCUAAAAUUUGUGAAAUAUUCAAACUAGGUUGAUUUAUGUGUAAGAAGAAUUUAGAGUAUUUUUGUGUAAUUUUUGGAGCUAUAGAAUUUGAGAAAUGGAAUUUAUACAAAAUAUCCAAAAAGAAUUUAUUUAAAAACCUAGAACUAAGUUUUGAUUUGUAAUUCAAAUUCUAUUUAGAAUUUGGUCUUGCUUAUUAAAGCAAAGUUGUAGAGUUUUUAGUUUGGAACAACUUUGCCUUUGGAGAAAGUGGUGAAAAAGAUUUGAAAAUGGCCAAAAUGAAUUUAGAAGAGAAAUUGAGAAAAGAAAUUCAAAAAAUAUAUAUAGAAAAGGGAAAAGGGGGCGCUAGCAGGCCGCGGCCUCACUUCUGGCCCGCUGGCCGAAGCCGGCUCGGCCCGCCCACGCCUUCCCCUUCCCCUUCCCCUUCCCUGGGCUUGCGCCCGCGUCCGCGCGCGGACGGCCGCUCGGUGCCGCCGUGGCGCGCCGGCAGAGCCUGGCCGCCGUGUGGCGAGCAUGCGGCAGCGAGGACGCGUCCCGGUCGGCCACCAGAAGCGCUCGGCUGCGCCCGCCUCCGCCCCCUCUUCCAUUCGCGCCCCUCGGCCCUCGCUCUCUCGCUCUCUCGCCCUCGGUCUGCACGCGCAGAGCGCCGCCGUCGCCAUUGGAGCACGAGCUCCGCCUCGGCCGUUCCUCCCCCGUGCGUGCUCCAUUCUGCGAUUAGUUCUCCCCCGAGCUCCGCCCUCGCUCCGCCGUUGCGGAACACCCGUCCGAGCGCUCGGUAAGGCACGGUGAGCCCCCGCUCGCUCUCGUUUUCUUCUCCGGCGAGAGCUCCGCCGCCGCGCACGUGAUCCGCGCGUCUCCAUGCCUUCUGGUGCUGCGUAGUUGGCGCAUUGUGCUCGCCUUGGCACCGCAAUGCUCACGAGCCACUCCAGCCACGCUCUACCGGGCCAGCGUCCCGUGCCGACGGUGAGCAGCGCCGCCGCUCCGCCAUGGCCGGUGGCGAGCCUGCUCCGGUCCGUUUUAGGCCACACAAAUGGGUGCGCUAGGUCCGCCGUGAGCCGUAGAGCGUGUAGAGCCGCUUGAUUCGCCGAAAGGGGUCACCAACGGUGAGCUCCGCCCUCCCCUCUGCGUCCUGACCAGUGGGCCCGGCUGGCAGGCGGGUCCGCUCGUCAGCGACCGCGGGUGCACUGCACCGGGUGCACCUAGCCGGUCUCGGGGUGGAUGACAGGUGGGGUCAUCUGACUCGCGUGUCCCGCCUGUCAGUGACUCCGAGGGUUUGAAUCCGAGUGCGCUUAGCCUUUUAGGUUGUUUUCCAUUUUAAAAGUUUUUCCAGAAAAUGGGUUAUGUAUUCAAAAAUCCAUAUCUUGAGGAAUAUAGCUCCAAAAAUUGUGAAAUAAAUUUUGGUGUGUUCCCUAUUUCCAGAUCUAUAGCCUAGUAUGUCUGCAUGUCAUGUUUGAGUAACUUUUGUGUAUGAAAAUAUUUAAUCCAUGUUUUUGCUAAACUUAGAAAAUGCAUAGUAAAUAAAAUAUGGCUCAGAAAAAUGUGAAAUUUGUUUUGUUGGCUCUGCAUGUGUGUUUACUCACUGGGAAAAUAUUGUUACAUAUUAUUUGGUGUAUAAAUUAAUUUAUGGUAAUUUAAAUGCUUGCAUGGCAGUGAUUUAUGAUUUUUAAUAAUUAAUUGGGUCAUGCAAUAAAUCUGGAAAAUUUUGUGGGUAUUUCUUAUGAUAUUAGACAAAUGGUAAAAAUAUGAAAUCUGUUGUUUGACAUUUAUAUCACAGUGGAGUAAUUAUACUUACUUUAUUAAUUAAUCUUCUGAUUUUUGUGGCUCAAAAUAAGUAUCCAAAAAUUAUGAAUGGUUGUGUAUAUAGGUUGAAUGGAAUAAGUUGGGUUUGGUGUAUCUUUGAAGCAUCGUGUGGGUUGCUGGUUGCAUUUGAAAAAUAAUUGUAGAAGAGAAUGCAAUAGAUGUUUGAUUCAGUUGAUUGCUCUUGGAGGUUGUUGACUACCUUGUAAUGAGCAUGACCAAGCGUAUCACUUAUGCCAUGACUCCUUUAGUACCUUCUCAUACAAGCAUCCACUCGGGCACCUCGCACUCCACUCAUAAGCACACAUGCAUCAUACAGGCUCGCAGGAGAACGAAGUGGGACCCGAGGAGCCAGAGGAGAGUCAGGAGCAGGAACCUCCGGAAGCACAGGAACCCAGAGAGGAACUGCAGGAGUGUCCAGAUCACCGACCCAGCACGUUUGAGAAAGGCAAGCCCCGGAGCAUUCUAAGUCUCCCUAUUCUCGCUAACUUAUACAAAGCACUAUACUUGUUCUACUAUAUUGCAUUUAAGUGAUAGGAAUUGCUCGAUACCGUUGAUGCAUAUGUACUCCUUGUUAUCCUUACUCGUUCACCUACCUUGUCCUAUGUAGAUAGGCACGGAGUCUAUGCUUAGCUUGCUUAGUCCGGUAGAAGUCGGGUGAUUCCCUGUCACCUGCGAGAUAUAGGUGGAUACCUGCUUGAUUAAGCAGUAGUUGCUUGGGGAAAGGAAUAACCAAGUGUGGAAUAUAAUUGGAGACCGGGCAGGGUCUUAUGGUGGGUUCACCAUAGUGCCCCUGCCUGUGUCGAUUAAGGACCGAUCGUUGACGGCCCUCUUGUCAUGUUGAACGCAUGCCCCACAUUUAGCUGGAAGGAUAAGUCGUUCCGACCACGAAGCCUGAGCACUAUCCAGGCCGGGAAUCGGCCCGAUGUACGCGCUGUAUUGGUGAUGGUUGAGGAGAACGACGAGGGCGCGGCGCGCAACCUUGGUAUACCUUGGAUACCUCGGUCGCCGGAACGGUCCUCGGGUACGGGCGGUGCCUGUCGAACCCACGAAUUGGUCCUGGAUAGUGCAAUACGGUGAUCUGUAGCUCACUUGAUCAGUGAGUGUGGUUUGUGUGGGGAAUAAACUCGCCAGCUGGUUAGAAAUCGAUUCGAAUCGCCAUCGCUCCUGGAUAGUGAGCACUUGACAUGAGCCCUGUCCUCGUAGUAAGGACUAUGGAACACUUGGGUUAUAAUGAUGAAUGGUUUUAAGAAAUGCUAUGAUGAGGUACUAUCAUAGUCUUAUACUUGCUUGUAAUAGUGCAGGUGCAAACCUAGAUGAUAGGUAAUGAUACUUUCAACUUGAGCAAAUUAAAAGAAGAAAGACUUAUGUAGGUUAUGAUAGUGAAAUACUGCGGUUUUACAAAAUGGUUGUCAGCUACCCCACUAUAUAGCCUUCAUGAUCCUUGAUGAGUCUUUAUUUUAAGUUUAUGACGGGUAAGUCUAGUUGAGUACCUUCUCGUACUCAGGGUUCUACUCCCAUGUUGUUUUGCAGAUGGUCAAAUGUAUUAUGGUUAUUGCAUCCUCUGUCUGUACCCAGCCAUGGGUGAUGACUAGACCAAGGGCGAUGGUCACUCCGUCUUCUCUUUUGCUUUUGUGGGAAUGACCGAACUAUGGCACUGUAUCAGACUAAGUGUGUGUGUUGUAUUUUCGAAUUAUGAAGCUUCUGCUACUUGAAGAACAUGGUAUUGUAAUAACUUUAAGUACUCCGAUGUAUUUUAUAAAUGUUGUAAUCUGGAUGUAUUGUGGAUGGCGACCGCUAAACUUAUUACGAUCUUGGCUGUUGUACGAUGUGUGGUUUGAAAUCCUUCGAGAUUUCACAGACUACCGGGAUUAUAUGGGCUUAAGCCUGAUGGUUUGACUAUGCAAAUAGUCGCUCUUAGGCUUAAUCUCUUAUAAUUUGGUCGGUUCUGUUACAUAGAUGGUAGAAAAUUGCGCGGUGCGUUGAUAUCUAUAUGUAAUCCCAACAUGUGGGCCUUUCUUCCGUAUUUCUUGAUAACCCCCUGCAAAAAUAGACAAACACCAAAACUUGUGGAAUUCUGUUAGAUAAAACCCUAAGUCUAGGUGUUGGUUGCAUUUGGAUCCUUUUCUUUAUUUAUUUGAUGAUUAUAUUUGGUACAUAAGGACCGUCAACAAUGUUCAGGCUGCUGCCGCAGUCCAUCAGCACCUUCGAGAGUCUAGCGUUGAUGAUGAUGGGGUCGACGACGAGCGGGUAGACGCCGGGGGCGACUACCUUGUCAGGGUGGUCGUCUCGAUCGAAGGUGAUGGGGGUGUUUGACCAGUUGAGGUACUGGGGCACUGCCAUCAUUGCCACAAAGACCUCGCGGUGCUCCUUCUUGUGCUGCCUUGCGGUUAGCUGUGUCGAGGGUCCGCCGUAGAUCAUGUAGCAGUCAUGGACGGCUGGGAAACCUUCGUCGUCUUUGUCAUAUCCCUUGUUGCCGCUCUUCUCUUUCUUCUGGUCGUCCUUCUUGAACCCCAGGCCGUCGAAGUGCCUCUUCAGCAUACGGUAGUCCUCGAGCUUGUGGUUCGCCCCUCCCUUAUGGUAAGGGUAGGGCUCCUUUAGCAUUUUGUCGAAGAUAGCCCCCUCUGGGGGUCCUUAUUGACGGUCCUUAAGUAUCAAAUUUAAUUAUCAAAUAAAUAAAGAAAAGGAUCCAAAUGAAAUCAAGAUCCAGACUUAGGGUUUUAUCUGACAGAAUUCCACGAGUUUUGGUGUUUGUCUAUUUCUGCAGGGGGUUAUCAGGAAACAUGGAAGAUAGGCCCACAUGUCAGGAUUAUGUAAAGAUAUUAACGUGCUGCGCAAUUAUCUUACAUCUAGAAGACUCCAGAAGCCACGAGACCGAAGCGGAGGCGAAACGGGGCCAGAGGCAGGGCGCCCGCCCUGUCCUACUGGGUGCCCGCCCACCUCCUGUGUCCAAUCAGGACUCUGCUUUGCGGGAGAUCUCCACCGACCUAAAGGAUGAAUCUAAACCAUACAAUCUAUGUCGGUUUGAUCCAAUGACCCAUAUUCACUUGAAGGGACUAUAAAACCAGACCCUCUGGCCCCUGGAGGAGAGAGCCUCUCAACCCUAAUUCAUUAUUCCAUCAAGGGAGAAGAAGCCUCUGAUCAAGAUUAGAGCCACCACAUCAAUUAGACAUAUAGAUUAGCAUAGCUACAUAGGAUUAGAACUAGAAGGAGUCAAUCUUCGAUUGGUUUCCGGAUCUAUCAAGAGGAUUCUUGGUAAUUCUCUAAUUGUGCUUCUAAUUGCUUUCUAAUUAUCUUUGUUCUUCAAUAUUAUGAAUAUGACUUUGUUCUACUUCAAUAUAUUGCUUAUGACUUUGCUCUACUUGCUUAUAUUCAAGAUUAUAUUGUUCUUAGUUUAUCAUAGUUAUGUACUUGGCUUAGUUAGAUUCGAUCUAUAUACAUGCUUAGGAUUGUAUAGCGUUUAUCCAUCGGAUCCAUGGGUAAAUGAUAGAUAUUGUGUAGGCGUGGUGCUUAUACCGUAUUUAUCUGCGAUUGUACCCAAUAUGACACAUCGUGGGGUAGUUCGUGAUAGUGACAGCUUCAUUGAUUCUUAUAUAGUCCCCCUCUCGUGUAUUGGGCUGGCAGAGCAACAUUAUUACAGGGGAGUGAUUGCUAUGUUUCUCAUAUUCCUUGCUAAUAUCACUAUGCAUGGGCGUAGUCUUGUCUCGCAAUGAUUGCUAAGUAUGCUUGCACUAACUAUGAUAUGCUAGACUAUAGAGUUAAGAAUAACUUAGGGAAUAUUCUUGUAGUUCGUUCUAAUACCAUACUAAUGACUUUCUAGAGUAUCUAAUUGAGGUGCUUAUCAUAUUUAUUAUGUGGCUAGAUCAGAUUAGUUAUCCUUGUCACUAUUAUUAUUUCAUAUAUCCUUUAUGUGACACUUAUCCCUGUAUGAAGAGUUAAAUAUAAUGUUCUCAAUUAUACAUGCAAUGAUAGAUGCUCAAUCUCAUAUUCUAUUCUGUAAUCAAUAGUGAUGAUUGCUAAUCCCUUCUCAGUGGUAAAAAUAUAAAUAACGAUACCUGGAAUAGUUCCCGGUUAAAAUGCUGCAUCGGUAUUAAUCUGUGCGCUUGCAGAUCCCAUUCAUUAUUUAUUUAGAAGAGCAAUUGCAUAUUUCAAUACCGCGUCUCUUAUAUCAUGCUGGGGAUGACAACUUGGCUUAAGUGGUGUGAGGGAUAGGUUUGGCAUUUUUGGCAUCGUUGCUAGAUUUAGAGAACUUAGUCUACUUUUGGUAAUGAUGUUAAGAAUACCCAACAAGCAUUUUUUGGCGCUGUUGCCGGGGAAGGUUGAUUACUAAUCAAGAAUGGAAUAAAGGAUUUUGAGUUAUCAUUCGCAUCACUAAUAUGAUUGAGCUUAUCUAUUCUCUCAUACAGUUUUACCCCGAUAUUUUUCUAUUUUAUCUUAUGCAGGGGAAUGUAUGAAUAGAAGACAUCUUCCAGGAAAUUGUUGAUAAUCCCGAAGCAUUAUUCAAAAAGACAAGGGCCAAGCUCAAGAAGAAAUCAUCAACACUUCACGAAGAAGCUUCAUCCAAUCAAGAAGAUCACCGGAACUUGUCUUCAGAGUUCGAAGCCAUGGCGAACAAAUCGAAACGCGAGUUCUCAGCUCCCACUUCGGAUAACAUCCGCACUGGACCUGCUGCAGAGAUUGAUGGCGACUUUGAGCUCAAGCCUGGACUUAUCAACAUGGUGCAAUCCAACUAGUUCUGUGGGAAGGCACACGAAGAUGCUAGUGCUCAUUUACAACACUUCCUGGAGAUUUGCAACACAUUCACCAUAUCAGGAGUUUCCAAAGAUGCUAUACUACUUCGCCUCUUCCCAUUCUCACUGUUAGGAAGAGCGAAGCAGUGGUUCUACGCUACAAAGGAGAAGAAUACUACGUGGGCACUCUGCUCAACAAACUUCCUAGCAAAGUUCUUUCCCAUGGGCAAGACCAAUGCUCUCCGUGGGAAGAUUACAAGUUUUCAGCAACAAAAUGAUGAAUCCGUCCCAGAAGCAUGGGAGUGCUUUCAAGACUACAUCCUAGAAUGUCCCCAUCUUGGAAUGGAGAGUUGGCUAUUGAUGCAGACGUUCUAUCAUGGCCUCGGCAACAGUGCCCGAGAGACCAUGGAUGCUGCAGCUGGAGGAGCAUUCUUAUCACUUACUAUACCACAAGCCACAGCUCUUGUGGAGAAGAUGGCGUCCAACCAAGGCUGGAAUGAAGAGAGGACCCAGACAUGCAAGAGAGGUGGAGGUAUGCAUCAGCUGAAGGAGGUAGACAUGCUGUCUGCAAAGCUAGACCUGCUCAUGAAGAAGCUCGACGAUAGAGCCGGAGACAAGAAAGAAGUUAUGCACAUCUACGACUCUCACAUGACUUGUGAGGAGUGUGGAGACACUGGACACUCAGGCAACCACUGCCCUGAGAUACUUGAGGAUGUGAACUACAUCAACAACAACAACAACAACUACUACAACCGUCCUCAACAAAAUCAAGGUUGGAAUCAACAGAGGCCUAACUACUCAGGUAGUUAUCAAGGUAAUAAUUCUUACAACAAUAAUAAUAAUUUUCCACCUCUGAGAGAGUUAGUGUCUAAUCAAGGAAAGCUAAUGGAUAACCUAUUUAAGAAAUUGGCAUCUAAUGAUAAAAUGCUAGAAAAUAUAAAUAAUAGAAUGGAUAAUUUUUCUACUGCCAUCAAGAAUCAAAUUAGCUUUAAUAAAAUGAUUGAAUCUCAGUUAAAUCAAAUAGUUGCUGCUGUUCCUACUACUAACCCCGGUAUACCAUCACAACCGGAAGGAUUAGAAUCUGCAAAUCUUGUAGACAUGUUUGAUGCAGGUAAUUAUAGUAACCCCGUCAAUGAAUUCUCUACUAACCUUAUGCCGGUCAAGAGAGGCGAUCCAGGACGCCCCGUCAUCCCGAUCUCCAUCGGCAUGGUGGAUGUCCCAGAAGCACUCUGCGACUUUGGCUCCAGCGUCAACAUUAUACCCAGGGUACUCUAUGAAAAAUUCUUUACAUAUCCUUUAUUAGAAACAACCAUGUGUUUGCAGUUUGCACAUCAGACGAUAACUUUUCCAAAAGGAAUAGUGAAGAACCUUUGUGUACGAGUUGGUACCUUAUAUGCCCCAGCAGACUUCGUAGUGGUAGAGACCGGAAGUGAUGAGAGAGCACCUGUCAUCCUAGGGAGGCCAUUCUUGAACACCACGGGACCUAUCAUCUACGCCAGUGCUGCCAAGAUCAGUUUCUACGUCAAAGGGAAGAAGGAGACAUUUUUCUUCAAGAACAAGACUACACAAAUUCAAGAUCAAUCGAGACGUAAAUCAAGGAAGAGGACCAACAGGAGAAACAAGAACAAACAAGUGUGGACUGAGUCAGCUAAGAUGGUCACUGUAGUCCAUGGAGGCCAAGAUCACCAACUUAAGUCACCAUUUUUGACCAAGAAGGACGACCCAGGAAUGCCAAGCAUUUAAUGCUCCAUAAAUGGAUACAACUUCUACAAGACAUUUUGUGACACCGGAUCGGGCGUCAACAUAAUGGCCGCAGUCACCUAUCGGCUCUUAUUCGGAACCAUGCCACUAAAACCAACAUACAUUCAACUCCAGAUGGCAGAUCAGACAUUUCGAGAAGUUAAAGGAACAGUAACGGAUGUCCCAGUCAAAAUAGACGAUCAUUUUGUCUACACAGACUUUUAAGUUAUUGACAUGGGAGAAGACGAGUAUGAUCCACCCAUCAUCCUUGGAAGAUCGUUUCUCAGCACCGUUAAAGCAAUUAUCUACAUUGGAACCGGAGAAGUCCAUAUGCACUUCCCCUCAGAGAAGGUAUGCCGUUAUUUUACUGACCCUAACUAUAUCGUUGAAGAAUCUAAGCAGGUAAGAAAGCGACGCAACCGCAACCAGAGGAGGCAGAUCAUCAGGGACGGAUGGGCAGACUACGAAGGAGAAGUUGUAAGGUCAGAAGACGUAGAGUUUAAAUAGAAUUAUCCAGAGGAGACCGUAGCACCGAGUCAGGUAUGGAAAGAGAAGAUAACUAUACAUGAAGAGGAGGCACUGCCGGAAGUACCGACUCCGCCAACCAACGAAUCCCAUGACAAUUGAGAAAAUGGAGAGUCCCGUUCGGAGGACUUAAAAACACCGAACGCCUUGCCAAGAGGUAAACUUGGUAGUUAUCCUUUCCCUUUUAAUUAUUUCAACUAGUUUACUUUGUUAAUCAUGUUCGUGCUAUCUUAAAAAGAAAAUAAAAAUAUGAAAAACAGUAAGCUAUACGAGUGGCAUAAAACCCAUAAGUACAUUCACUGUGGUGGCAUAAAAAUAAAAUAAAAAUUUCUUUUCUGCUUUAUAAAAUAAAAAUAUAAAAACAGGGAGUAAUAAUUAUUAAGGAGUCUCAACAUGAUAAAGGCUAGAUAUUUAUGCUAACACUUAAUCAGUUCCACAAGCUUUGUUGUCUAUUUGAGCUCCACAGAAUUUAAGAAUCAGGAAGACUGGCAGACGGAGGACAUUCUUAUCGCUGUCAGAAUGCUGCUGACUUUCAAAUACACCUCUGCUGCCUGCUAGCUACAUCAAGAGAAAUUACGUCAAAAUUCAGCUUGGGGGAGAGCACCCCAUUUAUCUCGAUAAGUAUUUCUAUCUAUCUAUCUUUAUACUUAUAUUAUAUUUGAAUAUAAAUAUAAAUAACUAUGGGAAAAUCAAAUAAAGAUCUUGUGCUUAUAUAUAACUUUUGCUAGUGUGUUUAAUAAAUAAAUAAAGUGGCUAUGCUAAUCUGUAUCUAAAUAAAACUCUAGCAUGGAUAUGACGAAUAGUUGCUCUGCCUAAUUUGCACAUUUGAAGUUCUCUCUCAAGUUUAGACAUAACUGUUAUAAUUUAAGGCUUGCUCUAGACAUAAACUUGUGGGAUGAAAACUUGAUCUGAAGUCUAAGUUGUUAACGGAUACGAUAUGGGAAGGUUGAGCUGCUGUUUAUCUGUUCCUAGAGAUGCUAGAAUUCUGGAGAAUUUUAUCUUUGAAAAUCUUUAAAAUGUUGCAUGAUGUGUUCCUGAAUGAUGAGAGUUUAAAUUCCUACCACAGCCAUAUAUACAUGCUUGCUAGACUUUGAGCCACACAUUUACUAUUUACUACUUAUGAGCAUUGAGUGUGGUCAAGCUGUGUAGACCCUUAGGAGCUUGUCAUGUGGUUAAAUCAAGAUUCACUUGCACGUUCACUCAUAUAUGCUACUUCUAUUCCAGAAGUACCAUCCACAUAUACCCAUCCAUUUCCAUCUCCAGAACCACCCAAAAAUAUUCUACUCCUAAUUCGGGAGAGAAUAAACAAAAAUAUUCAUGUUUUUCUUUGUGAAAUAAAUGCUCAAGUUAUCUUGUUACUACCACUUGCUAUAUUAUCUCAAGAGAUGAGUGCUCUAAAAAAAGAGAGAAAAAAAAUAAAAAUACGAGGAAAUAAAAAGGAGCAAGUGCUCGGAACCUCGAAAGAAAAGAAAAAGUGAGACGAGAGGUAAAAAUGGACAAGUGUCCGAUAGUAGAAUUAGGGGUACAAGAUACCCACCUGAGAGAAAAGAAAAAGAAGAGCAUCUCAUUCUCCUCAUAAAGUUUCAAAAAGCAAGGAAGGUAUGUAUCCCCUCAAAGAGCAAAAGUAGAAUUAGACUUCCACCAUUGUUAUCACCAUCAUCACCAUACACCAUUCAUUCACCACACAUGCACAUUUUGAUUUGACUUAUUGAUUUGUUUCUUUGGAUCCAUGGUUUGACUAUACAAUAAAUGUCUUGUAAGUAUGUAUAUUUUAUCUCCCACCUAUGAGCUCCAGAUAUAAAAGCCUUAUUAGAGUAGGGUGAGAGAGAAGACAAUGUCAUUAUGCUUCAUACCACAAAUACCACAUAUUUUGAGAGAAGGCAUAUACCAUCACUGCCUUGGUAAGGAUCCAGAAAUACCACAAAAGAGAGACCUGAGAGAAUCAUACAAGGAAUCUCUGAGUUUUAUUUGAAAAUCUGCAAAAACCCCAGAGCUAUAGCUGAUCAAGAAUAAGAGACAUGGCACUUGGCUAGACUGUUCUAUCUUUUAACCUCUCAAGACUGAAGUGACGGUUACAAGUCCCAUGGUGUAGGUAAAGUAAGUAAGUUUUAAGUCUUGACAGUUUACUCUAACUCAGAGAUGAGAUCUUAUUUAAAAGCAUGUGUAACGUCAAAAUUUUUAAAGAUAUUGCAACAACUUAUGAUCCAUAGCUGAGUCUAUCCUUGCUCAGGGACGAGCAAGAGGUAAGCUUGGGGCAGUUUGUUGACGGUCCUUAAGUAUCAAAUUUAAUUAUCAAAUAAAUAAAGAAAAGGAUCCAAAUGAAAUCAAGAUCCAGACUUAGGGUUUUAUCUGACAGAAUUCCACGAGUUUUGGUGUUUGUCUAUUUCUGCAGGGGGUUAUCAGAAAACAUGGAAGAAAGGCCCACAUGUCAGGAUUAUGUAAAGAUAUUAACGUGCUGCGCAAUUAUCUUACAUCUAGAAGACUCCAGAAGCCACGAGACCGAAGCGGAAGCGAAACGGGGCCAGAGGCAGGGCGCCCGCCCUGUCAUACUGGGCGCCCGCCCACCUCCUAUGUCCAAUCAGGACUCUACUUUGCGGGAGAUCUCCACCGACCUAAAGGAUGAAUCUAAACCAUACAAUCUAUGUCGGUUUGAUCCAAUGGCCCAUAUUCACUUGAAGGGACUAUAAAACCAGACCCCCUGGCCCCUGGAGGAGAGAGCCUCUCAACCCUAAUUCAUUAUUCCAUCAAGGGAGAAGAAGCCUCUGAUCAAGAUUAGAGCCACGACAUCAAUUAGACAUCUAGAUUAGCAUAGCUACAUAGGAUUAGAACAAGGAGUCAAUCUUCGAUUGGUUUCCGGAUCUGUCAAGAGGAUUCUUGGUAAUUCUCUAAUUGUGCUUCUAAUUGCUUUCUAAUUAUCUUUGUUCUUCAAUAUUAUGAAUAUGACUUUGUUCUACUUCAAUAUAUUGCUUAUGACUUUGCUCUACUUGCUUAUAUUCAAGAUUAUAUUGUUCUUAGUUUAUCAUAGUUAUGUACUUGGCUUAGUUAGAUUCGAUCUAUAUACAUGCUUAGGAUCAUAUAGCGUUUAUCCAUCGGAUCCAUGGGUAAAUGAUAGAUAUUGUGUAGGCGUGGUGCUUAUACCGUAUUUAUCUGUGAUUGUACCCAAUAUGCCACAUCGUGGGGUAGUUCGUGAUAGUGAUAGCUUCAUUGAUUCUUAUAUAGUCCCCCUCUCGUGUAUUGGGCUGGUAGAGCAACAUUAUUACAGGGGAGUGAUUGCUAUGUUUCUCAUAUUCCUUGCUAAUAUCACUAUGCAUGGGCGUAGUCUUGUCUCGCAAUGAUUGCUAAGUAUGCUUGCACUAACUAUGAUAUGCUAGACUAUAUAGUUAAGAAUAACUUAGGGAAUAUUCUUGUAGUUCGUUCUAAUACCAUGCUAAUGACUUUCUAGAGUAUCUAAUUGAGGUGCUUAUCAUAUUUAUUACGUGGCUAGAUCAGAUUAGUUAUCCUUGUCACUAUUAUUAUUUCAUAUAUCCUUUAUGUGACACUUAUCCCUGUAUGAAGAGUUAAAUAUAAUGUUCUCAAUUAUACAUACAAUGAUAGAUGCUCAAUCUCAUAUUCUAUUCUAUAAUCAAUAGUGAUGAUUGCUAAUCCGUUCCCAGUGGUAAAAAUAUAAAUAACGAUACCUGGAAUACUUCCCGGUUAAAAUGCUGCAUCGGUAUUAAUCUGUGCGCUUGCAGAUCCCAUUCAUUAUUUAUUUAGAAGAGCAAUUGCAUAUUUCAAUACCGUGUCUCUUAUAUCAUGCUGGGGAUGACAACUUGGCUUAAGUGGUGUGAGGGAUAGGUUUGGCAUUUUUGGCAUCGUUGCUAGAUUUAGAGAACUUAGUCUACUUUUGGUAAUGAUGUUAAGAAUACCCAACAGUCCUCAAGGCCUUUUGCACUCCAUGGCGGCGACGAGAUCGUCAUCGAGGUCCUCCCGCUAGAAAGGUCGUGCUUUCUUCUUCUUUUUGUUCUUCUUGGGUCCUCGACUGGGGCCCUCAUCAUCAUCGGCGGGCGACUUGCCUUUGCCUCCUUUGCAGCUGAAGAAGGCGCCGACCGCUUCUUCCCCUACAGCGUAGUUUGCCACUACGUCCAUCAGCUCGUCGACGGUCUGAGGAUGAUUCCGGCCUAACUCCCGCUCCAAAUCUCGACUGGUGAUGCCUGAGACAAAGGCCAGGAUGAUGUCGUGAUCUGGGAUGUGCGUCAGCUCGGUGCGCUACUCAGAGAAGCGUCGAGCAUACUCUCAGAGAGUUUCUCCUGACUUCAGCUUGCACUUGCUGAGGUCCCACGAGUUGCCAGGCCGUACGUAGGUCCCUUUGAAGUUGCCCUCGAAUACUCCGACCAAAUCGACCCAAUCGUGAAUUUGAUUGACCAGGAGUUCCUCGAGCCAUCUGCGGGUGGUGUCGGAGAGAAAAAGCGGCAACUGCUGGAUGAUGGCUCGAUCGUCUCCUCGAGCACCACCCAACUGACAGGCUAACAGGAAGUCUACCAACCAUAGCUCUGGCUUGGUCUCGUCGUUGUAUUUAGCGAUGCUGGUCGGGGUCGAAACGGGCUGGGCAGCGGCAUGCUGCGGAUUGCCCUGCUGAACACCCGAGGGCCCGGCGGUUCCGGAGCCAUCCGGUCCUCGUCGCUGCGUAUCUCCCACCGCGGUGGGUGCUGUAACCGCGCUCUUCUGCGUCCCCAUACCGACAGCGACGAUUCUCAUCGAUGUCGUGUCGUGUCGUCGCUGAUUGCCGACGGGAUGGUUGAGGAUGAGUGAUGUCUUCUUCCCUCGAGGGGGCGGCUGCUGAUGGACCGACACGUCCUUUUCGUUUUGGGCCAGCUCAUCACGCUUCUUCGUGGCUGCUCCUCGACGUCGAGAGGCUGAGCUCUCGGCCUGCUGAACUGCCGCCACUUGGAGCAGAGUCUGCACCUCGUCUCGAAUGCGUCGCGCUUGGGAGUUCGACGGUGCGGGCAUAUUGCGUAGCAGCAUUAUUGCCGCCACGACGUUCUGGCCCGCUCAAGGGAAACGGCUGACGGGCUGCUCAGGCUCCCCGUCUCUGACGAUCUAUCGAUGUACUUCUCGAGCCCGUCUGUGGACACUUCCGCCAGGCGGGUAUGGCUGGUCGUGCUCGAGGAUCUGUUCAAGCAGGGCAAGGCGCUCGCGAUCUUCAUCGAGCUUCACUUUGUGCUCUCGUAGCUGCGCAAGUUGCACGGCUCUGUCUUCUUGUGGAGGGGGGUCGACCUGACCGUCGUUUCUAGGCGUCCUAGGGACUUCCCUUGCUCCAGGGGCUCGACCACCGGCAACGGCGUAUUGUGUCUCGUCGGUAGUUUGCACCGCCCCAUCGAUAUGGAAGCAUUCCCUAGUAGGGUCGUAGCUAUCGGACUCAGAGUCGGAGUCCGGCUCGGCGGCGUAGAAGCAUCCGCGUCCUUCCUCCAGCAGCCUUUGCCUGAGUGAGGUGAUCGUGUACCGCCUAGGACCUAGGCAGCGGAGGCCUCGUACCUGAGAGAAAUCCUGCAGCUCGGACGUCCGUUGCCGUGCUCCAGUGUCACGUGGGAGGACCAUUGGUCUUUCCACGUACGUCUGGGCGUUUGGACAUAUCGUCCUGGCAAGUGACGCCGCGGCAUUGUCCAGACUGAACGGUAGCGCUCUUCUUGGGGCGAACAACCCGUGUGGAAGUAGCGCCGUGGCAGGCAAGAGCGCGCAGGGCGCGCCGUCUCCCAACGUUGUCGUGCGAUCCUCAUGGCGUUGGGCCGUCAUUCCCGCGGUUUCGGCGUGCGGGGCUGUCGGCUCCUGUGCCACCUCCUACCUGGCACGAACUGGCGGUCGUGAUGAGGCAGAGGGUUGAUGGUGGCGCUGUCCACGUCUCUUCUUGGGCGGGGAGGUGUGGUGGCGAGGUCGUCUCGGAGCCCUCAAUCGUGCUGGCGCAAUGCGAGCUCCUCCCGAUCCUUUGACCGAGAGCAGGAUCAUGUCAUAGCCAAAACCGGUAGACAUGAACUCGAGGCUCCCGAACCAAAUCACCGUGCAGCGUGGAAUCGGCGAAACGAGAGUGGCCAUCUGGAAAGGAAUGGGAAAUCGGUGAAAAACACGGAGGACCCCUACCUGGCGCGCCAACUGUCGGUGUUUUCCCCCCGGGGGGUCACACCAACAAGUAAAACUUGUGUGCGUGCUCCCCUUUCCAGAUGGUGAUGCAAGAAAAGACACAAAGAUUUAUCCUAGUUUGGGCAAGAGAAGGCCCUACGUCCAGCGGGGGGGGAGUGUUUGUAUUAUCGCGCACCUAAGUGCUUGUACAGGGGUGAAUACAAGUUUGUGUGGAUGGAAAGAUGAAGUAUGGUAGCUCUUCUAUGUAUGUCUUGUGUUGUGUAUCCUCUCCUAGGCUUCCCCUUUUAUAGUUUCAAGGGGAGGCCUAGGUUACAUGCAUAGGCGACAGAGUAGGGGUCGAUAGGGGUGCAGCGUGCUGACCUACUCGAGGCCUCCGUACCGGCGUGGCCUCGAGCUAUCUUGUCUUGGUACCUUGAUGAUGAUUACGCAUGCCCCUGAAUCCCACUCCUGCACGCCGUCCUGGACUGGUUCAUCUGUUGCACGCUUGUACGUCGUGGUAGCAGCUACGUCGGAGUGGUUGAGGUGUUGUCAUUCGUCGCCCGAUCCUUCCCUAGGAAGGAAACGUGCCAACUCGAGGGUCAGGUGUCGUGCAACGCCUUGCUGGCCAGAGCGCUGACUUUGGGAGUCUCGAGGGGGUCUUGACUGGACGUUCCGACCCACUCCCUGUGCCCUGCCACGUUCUGGCUUGUUUGGUGGGGAAGGCUGCAAAAAGAAUGACAGGACGGGUGCUUGAUCCCUAUCACGCUUCCCGUGACUGACGGGUUAGGUGAGAACGCGGCAGGCGCAUUAAAUGCCCUGGUUCCCGUGCCCGCGUUAGGCAGCGGGUGGCGUCCUUGCGCUCGAGGCCUUUUGAUUCAUACGAGCCUGUUUCCGUAUUCGAGGGUCGUCGGUAGUCGAGCCUCAGACAAUUCACACGAUGCUCUUUCCGUGUUCGAGGCUACGGUCGUCGAGGACCGUGCGUACAACUGGGGGGCGUCGAGUCAGAGGCCUCGACUUUCGUACGGAUGCUCUUGCUAUGUACAUCAGUUAGGGUACCCCUUACUGAUAUCCUCGACACAUAUCAUAUCUGUUAACGACUUAGACUUUAGAUCAAGUACUCUUCCCACAAGUUUAGGUUUAGAACAAAUCUUAAUUCAUAACAGUCAAGCCUAAACUUGAGAGAGAUUUCAAUUUUGAGAACUAGUCAUGGCAGAGCAACUAUUCAUCAUUUCCAUGUGAGAGCUUAUCAUGUGGGUUCAUAGCAAACUUUAUUUAUUGUUUUUUUAGCAAACUAAGCAAAGAUAUAUAUAUAUAUAAGCAUAAAAUCUUUAUUUGGGUUUUUAUGAUUAUGCAUCUUUUUAUUAUUUGAGUAAAGUAUAAACGUGAGUAGAACUACUUAGCUGGAUAAAUGGGGGUGCUCUCCCCCAAGCUAGAUUUUGACGUAAUUUCUUCUGAUGUAGCUAGCAGGUGGUGGAGGUGUAUUUGAAUGUCGGCAGCACCCUGACAGCGAUUAGGAUGUCCUCCGUCUGCUAGUCUUCUUUGAUCCUUGAAUUCUGUGGAGCUCAAAUAGACAACAAAGCUUUGUGGAACUAGUUAAGUGUUAGCAUAUAUAUCUAGCCUUUAUCAUGUUGAGCCUCCUCAAUAAAUGUUACUCUCUUUGGUAGGAUCAUA
This 31975-nucleotide long non-coding RNA is filed under the name Sorghum bicolor (sorghum). RNAcentral describes it as "long non-coding RNA (SBIC_LNC008482)". The record is from RNAcentral. Lineage: Eukaryota; Viridiplantae; Streptophyta; Magnoliopsida; Poales; Poaceae.